UGGAUCCAGACUUUGAUCAUGGCUCAGGAUGAACGCUAGCUACAGGCUUAACACAUGCAAGUCGAGGGGAAACGACAUCGAAAGCUUGCUUUUGAUGGGCGUCGACCGGCGCACGGGUGAGUAACGCGUAUCCAACCUGCCCAUCACUUGGGGAUAACCUUGCGAAAGUAAGACUAAUACCCAAUGAUAUCUCUAGAAGACAUCUGAAAGGGAUUAAAGAUUUAUCGGUGAUGGAUGGGGAUGCGUCUGAUUAGCUUGUUGGCGGGGUAACGGCCCACCAAGGCUACGAUCAGUAGGGGUUCUGAGAGGAAGGUCCCCCACAUUGGAACUGAGACACGGUCCAAACUCCUACGGGAGGCAGCAGUGAGGAAUAUUGGUCAAUGGACGAGAGUCUGAACCAGCCAAGUAGCGUGCAGGAUGACGGCCCUAUGGGUUGUAAACUGCUUUUAUAAGGGAAUAAAGUUAGUCUCGUGAGACUUUUUGCAUGUACCUUAUGAAUAAGGACCGGCUAAUUCCGUGCCAGCAGCCGCGGUAAUACGGAAGGUCCGGGCGUUAUCCGGAUUUAUUGGGUUUAAAGGGAGCGUAGGCCGGAGAUUAAGCGUGUUGUGAAAUGUAGAUGCUCAACAUCUGCACUGCAGCGCGAACUGGUUUCCUUGAGUACGCACAAAGUGGGCGGAAUUCGUGGUGUAGCGGUGAAAUGCUUAGAUAUCACGAAGAACUCCGAUUGCGAAGGCAGCUCACUGGAGCGCAACUGACGCUGAAGUUCGAAAGUGCGGGUAUCGAACAGGAUUAGAUACCCUGGUAGUCCGCACGGUAAACGAUGGAUGCCCGCUGUUGGUCUGAAUAGGUCAGCGGCCAAGCGAAAGCAUUAAGCAUCCCACCUGGGGAGUACGCCGGCAACGGUGCAACUCAAAUGAAUUGACGGA
This 926-nucleotide ribosomal RNA is filed under the name uncultured organism. RNAcentral's name for it is "bacterial SSU rRNA". It matches the Rfam family "Bacterial small subunit ribosomal RNA", at positions 1 to 917 of the family's 1533-position model. The record is from RNAcentral.